CCAUGACGAUAUUCGCCCAGUUAUCGUUGUCCCCAUUCGGAUUCGGAUCGGGUUUUGGGUUCGGAGCGGGGGACUCUGUCUCGUUGUGGUCGGUGUCUGCUGCUGCGGCCUUCGGGGGCGCUUGUUGCUGAUCCAUUUUGUUUCAAAAGGUUCUUCGGAGGCGCGUGGCGAGUCUUGAUUGGGAGUGGUUUGAUUUUCAAAUGUUAUGAGGUCUCUGUUCGGAUUGCUACAGUGGAGAGGAUUUAGAGGGGAGAAUGGUCAUGCACUGUACAAAUUGAUGACUUUUUUUAGCACCAAGCGGGAUUGAGAAUUCAAUGGACUAUCUUGGCUGGUGCUCGUCAUUCAUCAAUUUUCUCGUAAAUAUUAUUUUUCAUGAAGUUUAAGUGACCGUAAGGCCUUUUAAAUUUAAAAUGUAUGCAUUCUAAAAACAACAACACUUAUUAUUAUUAUUAUUAUUAUUAAUUAUGGCAAAUAUGUAACUUCUCUAUUUUGGGGGUAAAAAAGCAAUUUGAACAAAAUUCCGUUAGUUUUAUUAACGGUUUGCAGACGGAGGUGGAAAUGUGAAAAAAAAUAUAAGUUUAGGUGGAGCGCAGCUAAAAAAAUUAAAAUUUGUAUAUUUUUUAAAAAGUGAAAAAAAUCUGGUAGACGGUAGAUAUUUUCCCAUAAACAAUUAACCUGUUUUAAGCUUCGGUUUAAUGAUAUUUACAUGUAAGUAACUUUUGGGCAGUGUGAUCUUUCACCAAAGAUUACUGAGAUGGUGCAGGAGUGUGGGCGACGUAAGGAUUGGAUCUAUCGAUUGGGGGCAUGGUAUUUUGGUAAUUAUGAGUAUUGGGAGCGUGCGAUUCGGUCACCAAGUCGGGGCUCCAGUGCACCGAUUUCUUCGACGCGGAUGAUGCUGGCGACGGUUCAGAUGAAUUGGUGGAGCUUUCUAAUUGGAUCUUGAUUUGACUCUGAGGCUGCACUUGAUUCUCGUUCUCAUAAACUUUCUCAGACUCGGAUCCCAUGACGAUAUUCGCCCAGUUAUCGUUGUCCCCAUUCGGAUUCGGAUCGGGUUUUGGGUUCGGAGCGGGGGACUCUGUCUCGUUGUGGUCGGUGUCUGCUGCUGCGGCCUUCGGGGGCGCUUGUUGCUGAUCCAUUUUGUUUCAAAAGGUUCUUCGGAGGCGCGUGGCGAGUCUUGAUUGGGAGUGGUUUGAUUUUCAAAUGUUAUGAGGUCUCUGUUCGGAUUGCUACAGUGGAGAGGAUUUAGAGGGGAGAAUGGUCAUGCACUGUACAAAUUGAUGACUUUUUUUAGCACCAAGCGGGAUUGAGAAUUCAAUGGACUAUCCUGGCUGGUGCUCGUCAUUCAUCAAUUUUCUCGUAAAUAUUAUUUUUCAUGAAGUUUAAGUGACCGUAAGGCCUUUUAAAUUUAAAAUGUAUGCAUUCUAAAAACAACAACACUUAUUAUUAUUAUUAUUAUUAUUAAUUAUGGCAAAUAUGUAACUUCUCUAUUU
This 1490-nucleotide long non-coding RNA is filed under the name Citrus sinensis (sweet orange). RNAcentral describes it as "long non-coding RNA (CSIN_LNC003004)". The record is from RNAcentral. Lineage: Eukaryota; Viridiplantae; Streptophyta; Magnoliopsida; Sapindales; Rutaceae.